CAAGUUAAAUCUUUAAAGGAAGUUUUUUAUUUACAUUAAAAUGAUCAUUGUGCAAUUCAAUGUAAUUUGA
This 70-nucleotide transfer RNA is filed under the name Rhagophthalmus lufengensis. RNAcentral's name for it is "tRNA-Val". Lineage: Eukaryota; Metazoa; Arthropoda; Insecta; Coleoptera; Rhagophthalmidae. The record is from RNAcentral.